GAUGAACGCUAGCUACAGGCUUAACACAUGCAAGUCGAGGGGCAGCAUUUUAGUUUGCUUGCAAACUGAAGAUGGCGACCGGCGCACGGGUGAGUAACACGUAUCCAACCUGCCGAUAACUCCGGGAUAGCCUUUCGAAAGAAAGAUUAAUACCGGAUAGUAUACGAAUAUCGCAUGAUAUUUUUAUUAAAGAAUUUCGGUUAUCGAUGGGGAUGCGUUCCAUUAGUUUGUUGGCGGGGUAACGGCCCACCAAGACUACGAUGGAUAGGGGUUCUGAGAGGAAGGUCCCCCACAUUGGAACUGAGACACGGUCCAAACUCCUACGGGAGGCAGCAGUGAGGAAUAUUGGUCAAUGGGCGCGAGCCUGAACCAGCCAAGUAGCGUGAAGGAUGAAGGCUCUAUGGGUCGUAAACUUCUUUUAUAUGGGAAUAAAGUUUUCCACGUGUGGAAUUUUGUAUGUACCAUAUGAAUAAGGAUCGACUAACUCCGUGCCAGCAGCCGCGGUAAUACGGAGGAUCCGAGCGUUAUCCGGAUUUAUUGGGUUUAAAGGGAGCGUAGGUGGAUUGUUAAGUCAGUUGUGAAAGUUUGCGGCUCAACCGUAAAAUUGCAGUUGAAACUGGCAGUCUUGAGUACAGUAGAGGUGGGCGGAAUUCGUGGUGUAGCGGUGAAAUGCUUAGAUAUCACGAAGAACUCCGAUUGCGAAGGCAGCUCACUAGACUGUCACUGACACUGAUGCUCGAAAGUGUGGGUAUCAAACAGGAUUAGAUACCCUGGUAGUCCACACAGUAAACGAUGAAUACUCGCUGUUUGCGAUAUACAGUAAGCGGCCAAGCGAAAGCAUUAAGUAUUCCACCUGGGGAGUACGCCGGCAACGGUGAAACUCAAAGGAAUUGACGGGGGCCCGCACAAGCGGAGGAACAUGUGGUUUAAUUCGAUGAUACGCGAGGAACCUUACCCGGGCUUAAAUUGCAACAGAAUAUAUUGGAAACAGUAUAGCCGUAAGGCUGUUGUGAAGGUGCUGCAUGGUUGUCGUCAGCUCGUGCCGUGAGGUGUCGGCUUAAGUGCCAUAACGAGCGCAACCCUUAUCUUUAGUUACUAACAGGUUAUGCUGAGGACUCUAGAGAGACUGCCGUCGUAAGAUGUGAGGAAGGUGGGGAUGACGUCAAAUCAGCACGGCCCUUACGUCCGGGGCUACACACGUGUUACAAUGGGGGGUACAGAAGGCGGCUACCUGGUGACAGGAUGCUAAUCCCAAAAACCUCUCUCAGUUCGGAUCGAAGUCUGCAACCCGACUUCGUGAAGCUGGAUUCGCUAGUAAUCGCGCAUCAGCCAUGGCGCGGUGAAUACGUUCCCGGGCCU
This 1359-nucleotide ribosomal RNA is filed under the name uncultured bacterium. RNAcentral's name for it is "bacterial SSU rRNA". It matches the Rfam family "Bacterial small subunit ribosomal RNA", at positions 28 to 1381 of the family's 1533-position model. The record is from RNAcentral.